Molecule: ribosomal RNA, 497 nt
Filed under: uncultured bacterium
Lineage: Bacteria
Description: partial 16S ribosomal RNA
Rfam family: Bacterial small subunit ribosomal RNA
Source: RNAcentral
GAUGAACGCUGGCGGCGUGCCUAAUACAUGCAAGUCGAGCGAACAGACGAGGAGCUUGCUCCUCUGACGUUAGCGGCGGACGGGUGAGUAACACGUGGAUAACCUACCUAUAGGACUGGGAUAACUUCGGGAAACCGGAGCUAAUACCGGAUAAUAUAUUGAACCGCAUGGUUCAAUAGUGAAAGACGGUUUUGCUGUCACUUAUAGAUGGAUCCGCGCCGCAUUAGCUAGUUGGUAAGGUAACGGCUUACCAAGGCAACGAUGCGUAGCCGACCUGAGAGGGUGAUCGGCGACCCUGGAACUGAGACACGGUCCAGACUCCUACGGGAGGCAGCAGUAGGGAAUCUUCCGCAAUGGGCGAAAGCCUGACGGAGCAACGCCGCGUGAGUGAUGAAGGUCUUCGGAUCGUAAAACUCUGUUAUUAGGGAAGAACAAAUGUGUAAGUAACUAUGCACGUCUUGACGGUACCUAAUCAGAAAGCCACGGCUAACUACGUG